ACGUAGGUGGCAAGCGUUAUCCGGAUUUAUUGGGCGUAAAGCGAGCGCAGGCGGUUACUUAGGUCUGAUGUGAAAGCCUUCGGCUUAACCGAAGAAGUGCAUCGGAAACCGGGCGACUUGAGUGCAGAAGAGGACAGUGGAACUCCAUGUGUAGCGGUGGAAUGCGUAGAUAUAUGGAAGAACACCAGUGGCGAAGGCGGCUGUCUGGUCUGCAACUGACGCUGAGGCUCGAAAGCAUGGGUAGCGAACAG
RNAcentral lists this ribosomal RNA (251 nucleotides) under uncultured bacterium. RNAcentral's name for it is "partial 16S ribosomal RNA". It matches the Rfam family "Bacterial small subunit ribosomal RNA", at positions 525 to 775 of the family's 1533-position model. The record is from RNAcentral.